ACCCCACUGCUAUCGGGAUAGGACUAAGACAUGCUAGUCGAGCGCUUUCGAGCCAUGUUGAGAGCGCGGCAUACAGCUCAGUAACACGUGGCUAACCUGCYCUUGGGACGGGAUCACCCCCGGGAAACUGGGGCUAAUCCCCGAUAGGUGAAGAACUCUGGAAUGAGUCUUUGCUCAAAGGGCGCCAGAUCAUGCUUCUGGUGUCGCCCAAGGAUGGGGCCGCGACCGAUCAGGUUGUUGGUGAGGUAAUGGCCCACCAAGCCUAUAACCGGUGCGGGCCGUGAGAGCGGGAGCCCGGAGAUGGGCACUGAGACAAGGGCCCAGGUCCUACGGGGCGCAGCAGUCGCGAAAACUUUGCAAUACACGAAAGUGUGACAGGGUUAUCCCGAGUGCCGACCGCUGAGGUUGGCUUUUACCCAGUCUAGAAAGCUGGGGGAAUAAGGAGAGGGCAAGUCUGGUGUCAGCCGCCGCGGUAAUACCAGCUCUCCGAGUGGUGUGGACGUUUAUUGGGCCUAAAGCAUCCGUAGCUGGCUGAACAAGUCCCCUGUUAAACCCACCGAUUUAAUCGUUGGCGUGCGGGGGAUACUGCUCGGCUAGGGGACGAGAGAGGCAGACGGUAUUCCCGGGGUAGGGGUGAAAUCCUAUAAUCCCGAGAAGACCACCAGUGGCGAAGGCUGUCUGCUAGAACGCGCCCGACGGUGAGGGAUGAAAGCUGGGGGAGCGAACCGGAUUAGAUACCCGGGUAGUCCCAGCUGUAAACGAUGCAGGCUAGGUGUUAGGGCGGCUACGCGCCGCUCUAGUGCCGCAGGGAAGCUGUUAAGCCUGCCGCCUGGGGAGUACGGCCGCAAGGCUGAAACUUAAAGGAAU
RNAcentral lists this ribosomal RNA (867 nucleotides) under uncultured crenarchaeote. RNAcentral's name for it is "bacterial SSU rRNA". It matches the Rfam family "Archaeal small subunit ribosomal RNA", at positions 21 to 865 of the family's 1478-position model. The record is from RNAcentral. Lineage: Archaea; Thermoproteati; Thermoproteota.